This 1744-nucleotide unclassified non-coding RNA is filed under the name uncultured fungus. RNAcentral describes it as "sequence contains 18S rRNA gene, ITS1, 5.8S rRNA gene, ITS2, 28S rRNA gene". The stretch from base 753 to 1744 matches the Rfam family "Eukaryotic large subunit ribosomal RNA", at positions 1 to 961 of the family's 3401-position model. The record is from RNAcentral. Lineage: Eukaryota; Fungi.
GGAAGGAUCAUUAACACGUUUCGUUCCGAACGUUUUGACCCAUCUCUAUUUUCCGUGCACCAAAUUGCGUCCGGCCUCCUAGCCCGCUCUCCGGCUUUAGUCGGUGUGGCCUGGUUGGGCGUUUCAGAGUCUGGGGAGUUUUCUUCCCUCUCUUUGCGACGUUGCCACCUCUCCCAAACCCUUUAAUCUAACUGAUCUGAACUUUAAGUUGACUACUCGCAGAAGCACUCGUGUUUUUGCCUAGUUAUCAACGACUUUGAACAAACAACAACUCUUAACAACGGAUAUCUUGGUUCUCGCAACGAUGAAGAACGCAGCGAAAUGCGAUACGUAAUGCGAAUUGCAGAAUUCCGUGAAUCAUCAAGUUUUUGAACGCAAAUUGCGCUCUCCUUUAUCGUGAGCACGCUUCUUUGAGUGUCGGUUUAACUUCUUUCUGCAGCGUGCUGUCUUAGAAAGGCAUUUUUGAGUGUCUCUUUGCUCUCUUUUUUCUUUCACAGAAAAAAACGCGUAAAGUCACUUUAAGUACUUCGGGCUUGAUUGCCUGCCAGUGCACCGCUGGGCUUACACUUCAAAAGAGUGUGAGUUAAGGUGGCGUGGAUAAUUCACUUCUUCAAUGAGGUGGUCCAAUACGUCAUCUCGACAUUCACUUGCCGAGAUCCUGCGAGACCAAAAAGUCGUUUCGAUUUUUUUUUUCCUCAAUGGGCUUUGACUUCACUCUUUGUAGGCUCCAGUCGCACGAAACCCCACCAAACAGACCUCAAAUGAAGCGAGAGGACCCGGUGAAUUUAAGCAUAUUAUUAACCGGAGGAAAAGAAACUAACAAGGAUUCCCCUAGUAACGGCGAGUGAAGCGGGAAGAGCUCAACUUGGAAAUCGGUAGGGCAUGCGUCCGUCCGAAUUGUAGUCUAGAGACGUUACCGCAAGUGCGGGUGGCGGGUCAAAUUUCCUUGGAAAAGGAAGCCAAAGAGGGUGAGAGCCCCGUCUGUGACUCGUUUGCCUGUAUGUGUCGGUUCGUUCUUCGAGUCGAGUUGCCUGGGAUCGCAGCUCUAAAUGGGUGGUAAAUUUCAUCUAAAGCUAAAUAUGGGCGAGAGACCGAUAGCGAACAAGUACCGUGAGGGAAAGAUGAAAAGAACUUUGAAAAGAGAGUUAAAAGUACUUGAAAUUGUUAAGAGGGAAGCACUGGAAGCCAUUCGGGAGGUGUCUCUAUGGACUUACGUCUUGUCGAGGCGCCUUUGGGGUCAGCAUCAAUUUCUGGCGCGGGAGAAGGCUUUACUGCUCUACCAGCUGUCGGGGAUUGAGGAUUGAGCGUUCAUUCGGUGUUUGCGUUUCGCAGUGGCUCAUCUUUUGUCGCAGAGCAAAGCUCUCCGGUUUUUGCUGGGUCUCUUUCGUUGCGCUCUACCUGUUCGUUCGUGAUGCUGACGAUACGGUUUUCAUUGACCCGUCUUGAAACACGGACCAAGGAGUCUAACAUAUAUGCGAGUAUUUGGGUGGUUAAAACCCUGGUGCGCAAUGAAAGUAAUUUUUGGUAGGAACCCUUCACCGGGCGCACUAUCGACCGAUCACGUAAGUGAUUUUGAGUAAGAGCAUAUCUGUUGGGACCCGAAAGAUGGUGAUCUAUGCCUGAACAGGGUGAAGCCAGGGGAAACUCUGGUGGAGGCUCGUAGCGAUACUGACGUGCAAAUCGUUCGUCUGAUUUGGGUAUAGGGGCGAAAGACUAAUCGAACCAUCUAGUAGCUGGUUCCCUC